RNA transcript from Fragaria vesca subsp. vesca, 534 nucleotides. RefSeq lists it as uncharacterized. The record is from RefSeq and is a predicted model, not a curated record. The transcript has 2 exons. NCBI's taxonomy places the organism in Eukaryota, Viridiplantae, Streptophyta, Magnoliopsida, Rosales, Rosaceae.
GAUGAAGUUUCAAACUUUCAAGAGGUGCAUUCUCGAAUAGUCGCCUCAAUAUGUUUUGUACAAGACAUAGUACAUUUUUUCGAAACAUUUUUAUUCUCUAGCUCCCAAUCGAUCCUGAAAGACACGUACAAUAUUACAUGCAUUUGAAAUGAUGGUUAGGAGGAUGGAGUACUGCUUCAUGAGUAUUGUUGUGCUACUGCUGCUGGUUCUUCUGUCUUCGUCUACAGCGUUUCCGAGAGAAGCAACAACAUCUACCGGAAAUGGCUUCACAGGAACAACGAUAUCGUCGCAAAAGGGUAUAGAAGACACUGAUCAUGAAGAAGCCGCUGCUUAUAAUUAUGCUGGAGAUUACGAUUAUUAUCGACAGCAUGGUGAUGUUCCAAGCCCUGGAGUUGGUCACAGAAAAUGAUCGAGUCUCUCCCCCUUCUGCUUGCUGUGCCUGAUUGUUUUGUUGUUUUAUUUUUCUCUGUUUGCAUCUGUUAGACGUGUAAGUACGUACGUACCUUGAUCUUGUUAAUACAUACAUAUAUUAUU